AAAUGUAGCAGGAUGAGCACCACCCCUGGACCAGUCCACAAAAGUAAGGCUUCUGUUUGCCAGAAGAUUUGGCGACUCAAUGCUCAACAUUGUUUGGAAGUAGUGUUCGUCGACAUAACAAGCUGGUCUGCAAAACUCUUUAAACAAACGGUAGUACGCUUUAUCUUUAACUAUCUUCACGGCAAGUUCACGAUUGACUUCAAACCAUUGAUAACCCUUGCGCCAAUCAGUGAGGUUAAUCUCAGGUGCCAUGUUCCUAUUGUAGCGUCCUCUUCCAUAGGGUCCUUG
RNAcentral lists this unclassified non-coding RNA (288 nucleotides) under Hevea brasiliensis (rubber tree). The record is from RNAcentral. Lineage: Eukaryota; Viridiplantae; Streptophyta; Magnoliopsida; Malpighiales; Euphorbiaceae.